RNAcentral lists this ribosomal RNA (253 nucleotides) under uncultured bacterium. Its description in RNAcentral is "partial 16S ribosomal RNA". It matches the Rfam family "Bacterial small subunit ribosomal RNA", at positions 524 to 776 of the family's 1533-position model. The record is from RNAcentral.
UACAUGGGGUGCAAACGUUGCUCGGAAUCAUUGGGCGUAAAGCGCGCGUAGGCGGUUACUUAAGUCGAAUGUGAAAGCCCUCGGCUUAACUGAGGAAGUGCAUCCGAAACUGAGUAGCUAGAGUACGAAAGAGGGUCGCGGAAUUCCCGGUGUAGAGGUGAAAUUCGUAGAUAUCGGGAGGAACACCGGUGGCGAAGGCGGUUCUCUGGGCAUUACCUGACGCUGAGGAGCGAAAGUGUGGGGAGCGAACAGG